GAGUUUGAUCGUGGCUCAGAGUGAACGCUGGCGGUAGGCCUAACACAUGCAAGUCGAACGGCAGCACAGUAAGAGCUUGCUCUUACGGGUGGCGAGUGGCGGACGGGUGAGGAAUACAUCGGAAUCUACUUUUUCGUGGGGGAUAACGUAGGGAAACUUACGCUAAUACCGCAUACGACCUACGGGUGAAAGCAGGGGAUCUUCGGACCUUGCGCGAUUGAAUGAGCCGAUGUCGGAUUAGCUAGUUGGCGGGGUAAAGGCCCACCAAGGCGACGAUCCGUAGCUGGUCUGAGAGGAUGAUCAGCCACACUGGAACUGAGACACGGUCCAGACUCCUACGGGAGGCAGCAGUGGGGAAUAUUGGACAAUGGGCGCAAGCCUGAUCCAGCCAUACCGCGUGGGUGAAGAAGGCC
This 413-nucleotide ribosomal RNA is filed under the name uncultured microorganism. RNAcentral's name for it is "bacterial SSU rRNA". It matches the Rfam family "Bacterial small subunit ribosomal RNA", at positions 9 to 416 of the family's 1533-position model. The record is from RNAcentral.